GGGGGAUUCAUAUACGCAUACAGUAUAGUUAGUGAAACCUGCCCGCUGAUCUAAAAUAAAAUUUAAUAAUAAAGAUUGAAGGGCCGCGGUAACUCUGACCGUGCUAAGGUAGCAUAAUCAAUCGCUCCUUAAUUGGGGGCUAGUAUGAAAGGAAUAACGAACUUCUCCCUGUCUCAAGUACAGGCCAGUUGAAAUUUAGUACUUCGUUAAGACGCGAAGAACCCUUGAUCAGACGAGAAGACCCCGUCGAGCUUUACUUUAAUCUAUUUUCAAACGUGUCUUAGUUUAAAGGCUAAAAAAAGAUAGGGAAAAAGUUUAGUUGGGGUGACUUCCCGAAACAUAGAAACUUGGGUGAACAAAGGUGUGAGUUAAAUCAACUAGCUUUACCGAGAAGAGGACACUCUGUUCGGUCACUAAGAACCGUGAGUUUUAGCUACCCGUCUUUUAUGGAAAGACGACAUCGAAUAAAAGCUACCGCGGGGAUAACAGGGUCAUCUAGUCCUAGAGUUCCCAUCGAAGACUGGGUUUGCCACCUCGAUGUGGAAAUUUAUUGAGA
Molecule: ribosomal RNA, 556 nt
Filed under: Carybdea marsupialis
Lineage: Eukaryota; Metazoa; Cnidaria; Cubozoa; Carybdeida; Carybdeidae
Description: partial 16S ribosomal RNA
Rfam family: Bacterial large subunit ribosomal RNA
Source: RNAcentral